Molecule: microRNA precursor, 123 nt
Organism: Ananas comosus (pineapple)
Lineage: Eukaryota; Viridiplantae; Streptophyta; Magnoliopsida; Poales; Bromeliaceae
Rfam family: mir-172 microRNA precursor family
About the family: mir-172 has been experimentally verified in Arabidopsis thaliana. This family is thought to target mRNAs coding for APETALA2-like transcription factors. The mature sequence is excised from the 3' arm of the hairpin.
Source: Rfam
GUAUUUGCAGGUGUGGCAUCAUCAAGAUUCACAUGGAGUGCUUCAGCUCAUCAGCUGCAACCUGAUUAAUUACUAUGAUGGAAACAUGCAUGAGAAUCUUGAUGAUGCUGCAUCAGCAAUGAG